Molecule: RNA transcript, 2461 nt
Organism: Parus major (Great Tit)
Lineage: Eukaryota; Metazoa; Chordata; Aves; Passeriformes; Paridae
Gene: LETMD1
Gene name: LETM1 domain containing 1
Exons: 7
Source: RefSeq, a predicted model, not a curated record
UCCCGCCGGGGGGAACGGAAAGGGAGCGGGCUCGGGCCCCACCCGGAGCCCCCGGCAGCGCGGGCACUUCCGGUGCGGCAGCCAAUCAGCGCUCAGCGCCCCACGUGACCGCCGCCUGUCACCCGCCAAGAUGGCGCUGUCCAGGGUGGCGGCCCGUGGGGGGCUCUGGCGCCUCGGCCCCGCCGCCCUGAGCCCCCCUCGGGGGCGGAUGCAGCUGCAGCUCGCCCUGGGCGUGUCCAGGUCCCAGGGGCGCUCGCUCUCCUCCCGCGCCGCCUCCCGCGCCCUCGUGGCCGCCGUGGCCGCCGCAGCCCGGCGGGUCAGCGCCAGGUACGAGCGGUUCCUGGAGAGGAGCUUCCCCCGGUUCUAUCUCCUGUACAGCACCUUCAAAACAGGAAUCCAGGCGCUUUUCCUGGAGGCCAAGGAGAUCAGGAGGAUCAAAUCCAAGAUGUCUCAGCAGCGGCUGAGCUCGCAGCAGCUCCCGUACCGGGAGAUGGAGCGGCUGCGCCAGGUAUUUCUUCCCACGGCAGCUCCUGAUCCGUUACUUCUGGACGCCCAAGCAGCAGCUGGAGUUCCUGGACGCGUACGACCGCAUCCGCAGGGACUCGUACCGGGCCGUGCUGCGGAGCCUGGCGCUGGCAGCGCGCUCCCUGCCCGAGCCCCAGCCCCGCCAGCUCCUGCAGCAGCUCUGUGCCCAGGUGCAGGGAGGUGCUCGGCCACACCUGGCCCAGCUCUUGGCCGUCAGGAGUUCGUUCUCUGGGUCUCUGCUGGCGCUGAACAGGCUCCAGGUGGAUCAUGUGAGAGCCCUGAGCCAGGUGCUGUUCCUCACCCCACAUUUACCGGCCUUUUUCCUGCGGCACCGGCUGCGGAGCCACGUCCUGGAGAUCCGACACCUGGACCGUGCCCUGCUGCAGCUGGGGCUGGGGCAGCUCUCAGAGGAGGAGCUGCGAGCGGUGAGGACACCUCAGCACGCCUGGCCUGGCCUGGUGUCACCUCAGGUGUCACCUCAGGUGUCACCAGCACGGCUUGGGGCAGGAGGUUGCUCUUUUGUGGGGAUGUUUUCCAUGCUGGGAUGUGUGAGGGGUUCCUCACUUCUCUUCCCCUCCUUGAGGGGGGUCCUGGGGUGGUGCUGGAGCUCUGUGUGUCCAUCCCUGCCCGUGUCUGUCCCCCCAGGCCUGUUACCUGCGGGGGCUGAACUCCACUCACCUGGGCCAGGCCGAGUGCCGGGCGUGGCUGGAGCAGUGGCUCAGGCUCUCCUGUGAGCUCCAAGCCUCGGAAGCCUCUCUGCUGGCCCACAGCAUGGUGCUGCUGUCCCUCAACUCCAGCCGUUCCCCGGAGUGACAGCGACAGCCCCGAGCCCUGACGGAUGGAGGGGUGACAGCUGCGUGUCCCCCACCCCAGCCUUGUGAUUCCCAGCCCAAAACUCAGCUCUGGCCGAGCUGUGCUGGCCGUUCCCUUCCCUCGGAGCCCUGGGAGUGGCGGCUGUGAGGCCGAGCACAGCCAGGAGAGGUUGUUCCGGUAAUUAACUGCAUCUCAUUAAGGGGGGGAGCUGCUCCCUGCCCUGGGGAUGCUCCUGUGGGAUCUGCCCACGCUUCCCGUGGCAUUGCCUGGAGGGUUUUCCUCUGUUUCUGUUCUCUGCUGCACGGUCUUAAAUGUCACACCCCGCCCUCAGGGGUUGAGAUGAACCCUGGAAUUCCCCCCUGGAGCCUCCCAGAUCCCUGUGGAUCUUCCUGGGAGCUCUGGGGUGCUGCCUUUGGCUGCAGCAGGUGCUCUGGGCUGGGGGCCGAGUGGGGGGUCCCAGGACUGCACCCCCCAAAUUCAGCCUCGUUGAAGCCCCUUAAACCUUCAUUUCCCACUCCAGGGACUUGGAGGGUUAAACCCCAGCCCUGCCCUGCACGGGGAAUUCCUGCUGGCAAAGUGAACUCACCCCAAACUUGGGAGUUUUAUCAAAACCUGAAGGAAUUGGUGUCUCCGGUGUUUUUGGGGGGGCCCUCGGUGGCUCUGUGCCCCCUCCAGGGGUCACAGGGCAUGGGGACACCUGCAAAGUUUCCCUUCUGAAUUUGGGGUAGGAACCAUCCCCUUCCUCACCACUUCCUGCUGCUUUCUGUGAAUUUCUGAGCCCCCCUUGAGGAAUUCACCACUGGGGGGUUUUUAACCCAUUUUCAGCCACAGCUCACGUCUAAUUUACCCAUUUCUUCUCUUUCUCCACUUAAAUAUUCCACUUAAAAAGAGCAUUCUUCAGGAAAAAGGGUGGGCACAGCUGGAAAAAAAAUAAAAUAUUGAGGAGAAGCUUUGGAUUCAGGAAGUUAGGGAAAGAAAAAAUGAAAAAUCCAGUGGGAGCUUGGAGGAAUUGAAGGAGACAUCUGGAUUUUGGGAGGCAGGGGGACUCAAGCACCAGCAUCAACCAGGAUCUGGUGUUUGUGUGGAUUAAAUCCAAUAAAAAUGAUAUUAAAAUGCAAAGAUA